Molecule: long non-coding RNA, 2723 nt
Organism: Piliocolobus tephrosceles (Ugandan red Colobus)
Lineage: Eukaryota; Metazoa; Chordata; Mammalia; Primates; Cercopithecidae
Source: Ensembl
AUGAUAAACAGAUAUAAGUGAGGGAACAACAACUUGUAGUAUUGUGAAUGAUGGUAGUAGUAGUACUUAUACAUCCCAAUCGAGUCUUAAUAGUAACAUUAACAUUAGUAUGGAUAGCAAUAUCAAGAGUAAUGACAAUAGAUGUAGUGAUAACAUCGGCACGAAUAACGAUAAAGAGUUAAAAAAAUAAAAGUUGUGUUGAUGAUGGUGUUUGUCACGAUAGUAACAUUUUACAACAGAAUAAUGCAUUACAGUAUAAAGAAGAUAAAUCGAAUGAGUGUUUAAAUUAUGGUAAUAAUAAUACUUGUAUAAUUAAAAAAAAUAAUAAUAACAAUAAUAAUAAUAACAAUAAUAAUAAUAAUAAUAAUAAUAAUAACAAUAAUAAUAAUAAUAACAAUAAUAAUAAUAAUAAUACAUUUGGUCUUAAUGAUAACAACGGUGGUUGUAUUGAUGAAAAAAAAAGGUAGUUCUGAAAAAAUAUCUGUCGAUUUUUGUGACUUGUCAAACGUAUCUGUAAAAAUCCUCGAUAACAGUAAUAAUAAUAUUAUUAACAAAGAAUGUAAAAAUGGUGAUAAUAAAAGUUUAAACACAAAAGGUAUUGAUAGAGAUCAAAAUAUUAGUACUAUUAGUUGCAGUGACAGUAAUGAAAAUGAUGGAAUACUAAUAAUGAAAGUAGUAAUAGUAACAAUAAUAACAAUAGUGGUAGUGGUAAUGGUAAUAAUAAUAGUGGUAAUAAUAGUAAUAGUAGUAAUAGUAGUAAUAACAACAGUGGUAAUGGUAAUACAGAUGGAAAUAAUAGCAGUAAUGAUGGUAGUAACAACAACAACAACAAUAACAACAACAACAAUAACAACAACAACAACAACAAUAAUAACAAUAAUAACAAUAAUAACGACAAUGAUGAUGAAGAAAACGAAAAAAAAUAAAAAUAAAGAUAAAGAUAAAAAUAUGAAAAAUAAUAACAAAGAUAAUGAGAAAAAUGUGAACAACAAUGAUAACAAUUAUAAUGAUAAAAAUGAAACAAAAAAAAAAGAGAAUGAAAUGAAAGUAGAGGGUAGUAAUAAUAAAGGUAAUAACAAUAGUAAUAACAACAAUUCUGAAGGUAAGAUUUCAAGAAAUGUUAACCAAUCUAAGUUUAGUAAAGGAACAAAUUCAGGUGCAUCAGCAUUCAAAGAACUUAAUGUUAAUGUGUUAUUAUUAUUAUUAGUAGUAGUAGUAUUAGUAUUAUCAUUAUUAUUACUAUUACUCAAUUUUGUUCCUUCAACAAAUAGUAUAACAGGUAAUUUACCAUAUGCACCUAUGUUAUGGAAUAAUUAUUAUCCUGAUUUGCCUAAUAAUUCUUAUGUAAAUAUAGCUACUAAUAAAUUAAUCAAUAAUCAUAUAAAUCCACCCCUUUAUAAUAAUAUUAUAUUAAGUCCUAACCCAUUAAUGAAUCCUAUGAAUGGUAUCCCAAACAAUGUUGGAAUUGUAGGAGGUGGAGGAGGUAAUAAACUAAUGAAUAUUGUUGGUACAAACAAUGUAUUAAAUCCUAACAAUUUGAAUUUGAAUAUGCCUACUGCUGGUUUAGGUCCAGGAUUAGCAGCAGCAGGUUUAGUACCAGGUUUAGUACCAGGUUUAGCACCUGGUUUGGGACCUGGUUUAGCUCCAGGUAUAGCUCCAGGCAUAACUUUAGGUAUAAAUCCUACACUUAAUAAUAACAAUAAUAGUACAAAUACUACUACUGCUACUGGUAAUAAUAAUAGUACUACUACUACUACUACUACUACCGCUAAUAAUAAUAAUACUAGUGGUACAGUAAUAAAUACACAAAAUAAUACAAAUAAUGUUGAUAAUUAUAUGGAGAAAAAUAAUACAACAAAUAAUGUUAAUACUAGUAGUAAUAAUAAUAACAAUAAUGUAAAUACCAACAAUAAUGUAAAUAAUUCUAAUAGUAAUAAUAAUGUUAGUGGUACAAAUCAAAUAAAUAAUAGUAGCAAUACAAAUAAACAAUUGAAUAGUGGAUUUAUAGAUUCUAGUUUAGGUAGUUCUCAAAAUAUACAUUUAACAACUAUUGGAGGAGGAAUAGGUAAGAAUACAGGAGUUGCAGAUGGUAAUUUUAUAAAUCAAAAUAUAAUACCUGGUAAUAUGAAAAAUAUAAGAGGAGGAGGAGGAGGUACAAACAAUUUUAUGAAUUCGGAGAAAAUCCACCAACAUUCCCUCAUCAUCCUCAACAUCAGCAUCCACAUCCACAUCAUGCGAUGGUCGAUGCACAUCCAAAUUUUCAAGCAAACAAUCCAGCUGCUAUGAUGCAUCAUCCAGGUUUUUUACAUUAAUCCAUCUUAUAUUAUGAAUAAUUAUCAUGGUCCUGGUUUAACUGCACCUCCUACAAUAUUUUCUCCUAUGCAUUAUGGUAAUACAUCUAUGGGUGAUGGUCCAGGUGGAAUCCAUCAUCAUGAUUUACCCUUCCCACAAGGUCCAGCAAUAUAUGGUGCGUUUGACAAUGUACCUAAUAAUGUUAUAACAAAUAAUAGUUUAACUUCGUCAAAACAUACCGGUUUAGGUAUUAAUCCGUAUAAUUAUUUAUCUUGUGGAGGAAUACAGACUCCACCACCUCAAUUACAUCAUCCACAUCCUAAUGGGCAUUUAAAUUUGAAUCACAAUAUGGAUAGUCAUUGUAUACCAACACCAGGUAAUGUCAUUCCUGGUGGUAGUGGUGGUGGUGGUGUUGGUGGUGUUGGUGGUGU